RNAcentral lists this transfer RNA (75 nucleotides) under Parcubacteria group bacterium ADurb.Bin159. RNAcentral describes it as "tRNA-Glu". It matches the Rfam family "tRNA". From Rfam's summary of the family: Transfer RNA (tRNA) molecules are approximately 80 nucleotides in length. Their secondary structure includes four short double-helical elements and three loops (D, anti-codon, and T loops). The record is from RNAcentral.
GGCGCUAUCGUCUAGAUUGGUUUAGGACGCUUGGUUCUCAGCCAAGUAACCUGGGUUCAAAUCCCAGUAGCGCUA